GCCGAAAUAGCUCAGUUGGGAGAUCAUUAGACUGAAGAUCUAAAGGUCCCUGGUUCAAUCCCGUCUUUAGGCA
Molecule: transfer RNA, 73 nt
Filed under: Danio rerio (zebrafish)
Lineage: Eukaryota; Metazoa; Chordata; Actinopteri; Cypriniformes; Danionidae
Rfam family: tRNA
About the family: Transfer RNA (tRNA) molecules are approximately 80 nucleotides in length. Their secondary structure includes four short double-helical elements and three loops (D, anti-codon, and T loops).
Source: Rfam by way of RNAcentral